GUGAUAAAGUUGUUUUUCAUUGCUUUUAAAGGCAAAAAAAUAAUUAAAGUGCUGACAGGUAAAGCUAUUUUCAACAACCAAACAAUUCAUUUUUAUCCCUUUUAGUUAUGGAAGCUAUUAAAGCAAUUGUAGAUAGAUUUGAGUUCUCAGUAAUGAAUUUGCAGGUUAAGAGCUUCAUAUAGCUGACAUCAUUCCAUACCCCAUAUAUGUUAUGUAUUCCUGUAAGAAACAGAUGCACAACCGAAAAGAUAGUAAUA
This 257-nucleotide long non-coding RNA is filed under the name Solanum tuberosum (potato). Its description in RNAcentral is "long non-coding RNA (STUB_LNC000928)". Lineage: Eukaryota; Viridiplantae; Streptophyta; Magnoliopsida; Solanales; Solanaceae. The record is from RNAcentral.